GACGAACGCUGGCGGCGUGGAUUAGGCAUGCAAGUCGAACGGUAUCAUCCUUUCGGGGGUGAGAGAGUGGCGAACUGGUGAGUAACACGUAGGUUAUCUACCCUCAAGACGGGGACAACCCAGGGAAACUUGGGCUAAUACCGGAUGUGAGCAACUUUUAGUUGUUUGAAAGGUGGCGUAAGCUGUCGCUUGGGGAUGAGCCUGCGUCCUAUUAGUUAGUUGGUGAGGUAACGGCUCACCUAGGCAAUGAUAGGUAGGCGGCCUUAACGGGUGGUCGCCCACACUGGGAUUGAGAUACGGCCCAGACUCCUACGGGAGGCAGCAGUCGAGAAUAGUCUACAAUGGUCGGAAGACUGAUAGUGCGACGCCGCGUGAACGAUGAAUCCCUUCGGGGUGUAAAGUUCUUUUAUAUGUGAGCAGUGCUUCUUAUAUUAACAGUAUGGGGAGAGAGAUAUUAGCAUAUGAAUAAGCAACGGCUAACUCCGUGCCAGCAGCCGCGGUAAACAUA
Molecule: ribosomal RNA, 508 nt
Filed under: uncultured bacterium
Lineage: Bacteria
Description: bacterial SSU rRNA
Rfam family: Bacterial small subunit ribosomal RNA
Source: RNAcentral